Molecule: ribosomal RNA, 253 nt
Filed under: uncultured bacterium
Lineage: Bacteria
Description: partial 16S ribosomal RNA
Rfam family: Bacterial small subunit ribosomal RNA
Source: RNAcentral
UACGUAGGGUGCAAGCGUUGUUCGGAAUUAUUGGGCGUAAAGAGCUCGUAGGCGGUUUGUCACGUCGGAUGUGAAAAUCCGGGGCUUAACCCCGGACCUGCAUUCGAUACGGGCUGACUAGAGUUCGGCAGGGGAGACUGGAAUUCCUGGUGUAGCGGUGAAAUGCGCAGAUAUCAGGAGGAACACCGGUGGCGAAGGCGGGUCUCUGGGCCGAUACUGACGCUGAGGAGCGAAAGCGUGGGGAGCGAACAGG